CGCAUCUGUGCAUGCAGCAUAUCAAAAGCGGAGGAAAAGUCAACUACCUACGCUUAGGAUGUUGACACACGCGCGUGCUCGAUGAUAGUCUAUACAUGACUCUGUGCAUAUCAAUAAGCGGAGGAAAAGGAGUAUACCUACGCUUAGGAUGUUGACACACGCGCGUGCUCGACUCUAUACAUGACUCUGUGCAUAUCAAUAAGCGGAGGAAAAGAAACUAACAAGGAUUCCCUUAGUAACGGCGAGUGAAGCGGGAAGAGCUCAAAUUUGAAAUCUUCAAGGUUUUACCUUGACGAAUUGUAGUUUAAAGAAGUGUUUUCUGUUGAAGUUUUGGUAAAAGUUCUUUGGAAUAGGACAUCAUAGAGGGUGAGAAUCCCGUAUUUGACCAUUAUUUUCAGCUGUGUGAUACACUUUCAAAGAGUCGGAUUGUUUGGGAAUGCAGUCCAAAAUGGGUGGUAAAUUUCAUCUAAAGCUAAAUAUUGGCGAGAGACCGAUAGCGAACAAGUACCGUGAGGGAAAGAUGAAAAGAACUUUGAAAAGAGAGUUAAACAGUACGUGAAAUUGUCAAAAGGGAAGCGUUUGACACCAGUGUUGUUUUCUCGAAAAUCAAUUAAAAAGAGUUUGAUUUUGUUGUGUAUUGACCUUAACAGCUUGCAUUUCAAUUUUCUUGCUUUUUUUAAUGCACUUUUCGUUUAACAAGUCAACAUCAGUUUCUUUUGUUGUAAAAAGGUCAUUGGAAGGUGGCUUUCUUUUCGGAGAAAGUGUUUAUAGCCUUUGACUCCUGCAAUCGGAGAGACUGAGGUCUGCAGCGUAGAUCCUUCGGGGUUAGAUACAUUUGUGCUAAGUUAUAGCUUUUUAUAGACAACUUGUUGACUAUGAUUAGUCUUGUAGCUUACUCGCUUAUGCUAUUUUACCUACGCUUAGGAUGUUGACACGCGCGCGUGCUCG
This 948-nucleotide ribosomal RNA is filed under the name uncultured Neocallimastigales. Its description in RNAcentral is "partial large subunit ribosomal RNA". The stretch from base 153 to 948 matches the Rfam family "Eukaryotic large subunit ribosomal RNA", at positions 1 to 605 of the family's 3401-position model. Lineage: Eukaryota; Fungi; Neocallimastigomycota; Neocallimastigomycetes; Neocallimastigales. The record is from RNAcentral.